RNAcentral lists this ribosomal RNA (247 nucleotides) under uncultured bacterium. Its description in RNAcentral is "partial 16S ribosomal RNA". It matches the Rfam family "Bacterial small subunit ribosomal RNA", at positions 113 to 354 of the family's 1533-position model. The record is from RNAcentral.
CAACGUAGGGAACCUGCCCAUGCGGCCGGGACAACUUCCGGAAACGGAUGCUGAUACCGGAUAAGGAAAGCGAAGGCAUCUUUGCUUUGUUAAAGGAGCUGCAAGGCUCCGCGCAUGGAUGGACCUGCGGUGCAUUAGCUGGUUGGUGAGGUAAGGCUCACCAAGGCGACGAUGCAUAGCCGGCCUGAGAGGGCGAACGGCCACACUGGGACUGAGACACGGCCCAGACUCCUACGGAAGGCAGCAG